RNAcentral lists this long non-coding RNA (1263 nucleotides) under Arachis ipaensis. RNAcentral describes it as "long non-coding RNA (AIPA_LNC001909)". The record is from RNAcentral. Lineage: Eukaryota; Viridiplantae; Streptophyta; Magnoliopsida; Fabales; Fabaceae.
UAGAAUCUUGCUUGAACUGAAAUUGCUGUUGAUUCUACAGGUUGAAAUUCAAAAUUGAAAGCUAAUUCUUCUUCUUCGGUCAAAUCUGUUGCUUCUUCUUCAUUUUCUUCAAAAAUAAACAAGGAAGAAUGAAUUAUUGCUCGAUUUGCCAGCUCUGUUGAUUUUAUUUUUUGUUGAGGUUGAAUUGUAAAAUUGAAAUCUGUUGCUUCCUGUUCUGUGUAUGCAGAAGUCAUUGCUAAGUCCAAAAGUUUUGGUGCUGCAUUCUUGACUUGUGCAUCUGAUAUUUGUUGAAUUUUCUAUCUCUGAAAUUUCUGCUUCUAGAUUUUGGUUGAAUUGUCUACUUCUAGUUUAUCUAGAAUUGUUAGAUCCAGUGUGUCUAUUGAUGAUUUUGUUGCUGCAUUCUCUAAUUCUUUAUUCUCAUAAAUCGAGUAUGAAUUUUGGAAUUGCAGAACUGGAAUUGAUGAAUUUGCUAUUUCUGAAUUUGUUGAAAUAUUGAUGAUUGGGUGAGAAUCUGAUGCUGAUUUGGCUUGAAUCUAUUGAUUAGCGUUCAAGGUCGCACAAAUUUUGGUGCAAGUUGUUUGAAUUUCUUCAAGUAUCUUGGUACGUUCUUGAUAAUAUGAAUUUAAGCUUUGUAAAUUAGUUUGAAUUUAUCUCAAAUGGAAUCCGCAGAAUUACUAUGAGAGUUUAGUAUGGUGAGAAGAGAGAAUUAGAGAUAAUAAAAAAGAAUAGAAGAAAAAUCUUUAGAAGUAGGACAAAAGAAAAAAAAUAGAAUUUUUAAUUAUAUCAUACAUAUUUCACAUUAUUACAUCAUACUCUUAUUUAUAGUAUAAUUUUCAUUCUCUAGUUGGAUUAGCUCAAUACUAAUCCUAUCAAGAGCACACAACAAAAAUAGGUUGGGAAGCAACCAGUAAGUAAAAAGAGAGAGAAGAGGUUAAUUGAUAAAAAACAAAAACAAACAGAAAAAACAUUUUUUUUUAAAUUAAAAUUAUUUUUAAGGUUAAUUGAUUUUUUUUGAAAUAAUUUGAUGAUUUAAAUUUUAUUUUAGUCGUUACUGAGCUAUUAUGUAUGCUUGUUUCGUUAAUAAUAAACAUCAUCACUGUAUGAAUGUGGUGAUAGCUAGGUAAGGUUAUAUGAGCACCUUCGGUGUGCUCUUAUGGCUUUACCUGUGUUUUGCUACUGCAAAGUUUUAACCACCAUGAAAUAAAAGAUCUUCAAGUAUAUUAUGUUUUAAUUUCUUUGAAAUUAAUGAAAAUCAAACACUUC